Molecule: long non-coding RNA, 6440 nt
Organism: Acinonyx jubatus (cheetah)
Lineage: Eukaryota; Metazoa; Chordata; Mammalia; Carnivora; Felidae
Exons: 5
Source: RefSeq, a predicted model, not a curated record
AAUAGUAAGUGAACCCUUUUAAACACCAUAGUCUCCUCUUACAUCAAAUUAGAAGACAUUUUCUUCUCCCAGCUUUCUUUUCAUUAUGAAGAGAUGGCAAUUAGUAAUUAAAGGCAUAAUGGUCCUAUAGGAAAUUGACUGAUGGACAUUAUUUCAUUCAUCUGCAUCCCUAAAGCACACUUCGUUGAAAAUAUUAGCCAGGGUACAUGCAGUAAAUUCAUAACAGAUGUAUAGCUCCCUGUAAGUUGCAUUCUGACCUUGUCACAUAUGUGUCAUUAAAGAUAUUAUUAGUGACUUUUAAGAUAAGCUGUCAACAUCAAGAUGGUGAUGUUAGAGAAUCUGGUAUAAAUGGAAUUUCACAUAUUCUAAAUUAGGAAUGAUUUAAAAAAAUUUUUUAAUAUUAUUUAAGAGAGAGACAUCUUUUUAAAAAAAAAUUUUUUUUUACAUUUAUUUAUUUUUGAGAGACAGAGAGAUAGAACACAAGUGGGGGAGGGUACAGAGAGAGAAGGAGACACAGAAUCCGAAGCAUGCUCCAGGCUCUGAGCUGUCAGCACAGACCCCGAUGCAGGGUUCAAACCCACAAACCUUGAGAUCAUGACCUGAGCUGAAGUCGGGCACUCAACUGACUGAGCCACCCAGGCGCCCUGAGAGAGACAAAGCUUUUUUUUUUUUCAAUAUAUGAAAUUUAUUGUCAAAUUGGUUUCCAUACAACACCCAGUGCUCAUCCCAAAAGGUGCCCUCCUCAAUACCCAUCACCCAACCCCCCUCCCUCCCACCCCCCAUCAACCCUCAGUUUGUUCUCAGUUUUUAAGAGUCUCUUAUGCUUUGGCUAAGAGAGACAAAUCUGAAGCAGUGGAGGGUGGAGAGAGAGGGAGACACAGAAUCUGAGGCAGGCUCCAGACUCUGAGCUGUCAGCACAGAGCCUGAUGUGGGGCUCGAACUCAUGGACUGCAAGAUCAUGACCCGAACUGAAGUCACAUGCUUAACUGUCUAAGCCAUGCAGGCACCCCAGGAAUGACUUUUUAAUGGCAAAGAAGGAGAAAUUAAAAACAGUAUAAAGGAUAUCAAUUUUUAAUUAAAAUAUUACAAUUUCACAUUUGAAUAUUUCACAUUGAAAUAUUACAAUAUUACACAUUUGUUGUAUUAGUUUUAGGCAUACAUCCUAGUGAUUCCAUAUGUCUAUAAAUUAUGUUGUACUUAACCACAAGUGUAGCUAUCAUGUGAAAGCAUGUAACACUAUUAUUACAGGAUUGACUAUGUUCGAUAGUCUGUCCCUUGUAUCUGUAUGACUUGUUCAUUCCAUAGCGGGAAGCCAGUAUCUCUCUCUCAAAGGUAUAAAUUUUUUAUCUAACCUAAGUAUUUUGGUGGUAAACACAAUUAAUUACCUGUUGUUCAGCAUAUGUAAAUUGGUAGUCUAUUUUUCUGUGAUCAUUGCUUAAAGCAUUACAAAUGAUGUCAUUAAAUUAAUAAAUUCAGUUUCAUUCUUCACUCACAAUAAAGGAGAAGGAAAAGAUUUCUUUGUGUCCGAGGCCCUGUCACUAAGACCCUUCCCAAUCUGAACAGGCUCAGCUGCCCAGAGCACCUUCAGUGCCUCCAGCUGAGUGGCCAUGGCCUUGAGAAUUGCAGGAAUCCCUAGGAUGACCAGCAGAGGGCGCUCGAGCACCACAAAUCCGGAGGGGCGCUAGGGGCUUUUCUGAUCCAGGGUCCCCUUACAGAAGGAAAGGCUUCGGUUGCCUCCAGAGGACUUCAGGGCCUCUGCCUCUGCCGCUGCCUCAGGACAGAGAGUCAGAGCUGAGUUUCCAGCAGGUUCCACCGCCCGCCCCAGGGGAGACCUUGGGAGCUAUGCAGCAACUUGGCGUCUCCUGAGUCGCCAGAGAGAAGCUGCCUUGUUGCGCUGAGUGCUGAGGAGGGAGCGCUGGGUGGCUUCCCUGAGCGCACUGGUUGGUGAGCAGCACAGUCUCUUGCAUUUUCUGGGCUGUUCCCAUGUUUCCUUCCUCACUUUCCCUGACGGUAUUUGAACAAGACGCAUUUUACUAAAGGAUCCGCGGAUUGAGGGGCCCCACAACAUCAUAGAUGCAGUGGAUGGUUUGUUCCAGAUUCAGGCUUGCUUCCGGGGAGAAAUCCUGACAAACUCAGAAGAACGGGAAGCUGCAUUCAGUUGGGAUGUGAAUACGUGAAAUGCUCAGUCUCAGGACCUUCUAGAAGAAUGAGCUGGGACCCACUUUCCACGUCCUACUGGAACCAGAGACGGAGGUAUUGCCCAGGUGUCUGAAUGCCUGCUUUGGGAUACCUCCUUUUCUGAUAGUCUAUAUUCCUGUCCUGGAUUUUAAUAGAAGUCCCUGGGCUGAGGUGUUAACAGUCUUCAUUUAAUGAAUUUCCAUGAACAUCUUUUUUUUGAUGAUCGUUGUGUGGAGAUAUCAUCUUAAUUGAAACUGUGAGAAGGCUGUACCUGUGACAAAGGACACAAAAGAACCUGCUUAUGUGAACACAAAUGAAGGACACAGUGGGGACUUGCCAUAUAGGCCACAUGAUGAUCACCUACAGGAACAGGCUGCACAGCAGUCUUCCAGGCAUUGGUUUCUGCCUUGGGCAUCCCACAGGCAGCCUCUUUCCUUCCAUCACAUCCAGUCUUGGAUAAAGAAAAAGAAUGGACUUCUAUAAGAGUUGCAACACCACGUACUCUACUAGAUAACAGCACAGGCAUCAUCCCUGGAAACAUCCAUAAAAACACAAGUCAAACUACCUUACCUGUAUUUCAAGUAUGUGACCUCCCUGCUCUGCUCUGUCAUCUCCCUCUCCCAGACUUGAAUCUUGAUAUGGGGGAGAAAAACAUACCCACCUUCAGUUGUGCCAGACUGUGCACCAAAGAGAGAGAGGAGGAAAAAAGGAAACACCCAGCUGUCCUGAGCAUUCUUCUCAUAAACUGCGAUCUGAAAAAGCCAACAAUGAAAAGCCCAUGUUUAGGGAUUCCAAGGGCCACUACACUCACCCGCAUGAGGUGCUAAGGGUUCAAUACGUCAGGCAGAACUCAGGUUACCUGAUGUCUGAAGGUGAGCUCUGCCUGUUGCAGCUGUUCUCUUGUUUGUUCAAUUUGUUGCCUGUGAGUUACAAUUGCUUUCAUCAAAUAAGGCCCAAUAUUGGUUAGGAUUAUACAUAUCUGCCCAUGUUUCCAUCAGCCUCAUAUCUGUCCCCUGAUAUAAUUUAUUCUUACACAUGAAACACUCUACAUGGUUAUAAAUGUACAGUAGGAUCAAAGCUAUUGCUCCAUCCUUUCCUUAUUAUUCCAUGCCCAUAGGGUUCAGAGUUCAUAGAAUUCCUUCCCAUUUUCAAUCUUUUCCUAAUUCAUCACAUGACAAGUGUCUUUCAUCAUAAAGCUCUAUUCUUUAACUUAUAUCGUCACCAUGUUUCCUAGGGUUGCAAAGACCAGGGCCAUUAAACGUCACCACCAUGUUGAUGGGUAUGAUACAUCCUACGGCACACUGCUUUCCUAUAGAUUAUGACACUUGACACCAACCCCCCAGGAACGUUAGCAUUGAUGAAAUUUCUAUACAGUCUGGCCAUUGCUUGAGAUCCACAAAUGUUUAGAAACGUAAUUGUUUUGUUCUUUCUAAAACUUACCUUUUUUUAGUCUGCUAAUACUCUAUGCCUAUGUCCUCUGAAUUUGUGUUUAUAUUACUAUGUUGGGUCUAAACAUUGUAAAAAGGUUAAAAACAAAAAAUGAGCCGAGUUUUCAUGAGCUGCUAGUAAUUAGUAGCUGAACUCACUUGUACUUGUUUUCUUCUGUAGCUUUGUUCAAAUUUUCCCUGCAGCUGCCAGCUGAUUCUUCUUUGCUGCCAGUUCACACUGUGUCAUUUUAAGCUUCCUAAGAUAGGAAAAAUAUAUACAUAGUCCAGGAGCCAAGGUCCAGAAAUUCUGCCUUUUUACCUCCCAGCACUCUUGAAGGCAAAUAUCCCUUUCCCCAUCUCUCCCGUAAAUGCACAGACUGACAACACAAUCGGAGAAAUGAAGUGAACACCCCAUUUAAGUUAAAGAAAAUUCAACGUCUGUCUGCUGCCAUGUCUUUGCUAUCAGAACUGUCUUUCUAGUUCUCUGCUUCUACCUCCUUCAUCAUAAAGUCAUCAAAUAACGUUGCACUCUGUGCCUUCCAAGAGUUGGUCUUUUGUUUGAGAUGGUGAAGGCUCAUUUCAGCAAUGUCACAAACUAUGACCAACUGUACCCAUUAGGAUGAAGCAAGAGAUCAUCACUAGUCUUACACCUCCAUGUGGAGCCCUGAUUCUCAGUCCAAAAGUUGUACCCUGACACAAUCACUCUGAAAGAGACCUUCUAGGAUAUGGCUUCACCAGCAUUGCAGCUCACUCCCUGACAUUGCUAGGGGUUAGGAGUACAACCCCUGCCUCCACCUUCAUAUAUCUUGGUGGAGGAAAAGGCCAAUCUUAGAGCAGCAACAUCUCCUGAAGUAUAACCUGAUAUGAACUGUCAUAUAGUCUGGGUUUAUAUAUAGUCUGUUUCCUGGAGAGGAAACAGAUUUCAGAUGGAAAACUAUCAGCUUCAUACAGUCAAUCUACUUUAACAAGACUGAUUCCAUUGAUAGUGAAGACAGCAAAGGGAAAUGCCUAAAAAGGCUGGUUUGCCAUGUUACCAUCAGACUAUUUUGUGUAGUUGAUUUAAAGGGUUUCUACUUGGCACUUGAUGUACUCAAGAAUCACAUACAAAACUGAAAGUCUCUUAGAAACUGACACAAAAGCCCUAGACAGAGAAAGGCACAUGCAUUUCCUUCUGGCCUCUGAGGCAGUCCUUCAGCAAAUGCUUUCUGGAGUGGUUGUAAUAUAGUGGCUCUGUUGUAAGGGAGUGAAGGAAGAAAGGUGGUCAGGGCUCUGUACCCACUCCCCAAAAGAGCUUACAAAUUAAUAAAGACAAGAUGCCAAUGAGACAGAGCAGCCCUCACCCCAGGUGUGGGAAGGAAUAACACACAGCCGAGUCUCCAGGGAAGAGAACGAAGAGCUCAUUUCCCAUCAUGAAUGAGGGACUCUAAAGGCCCCGAUCUCUGCCUGAGAAUGAAUGGAAAUUCUGUACAAAGGAGGAAAUAUGUGAAUGAAUGCACCAAAUUUCUAUCAACCUUAUGAAGACACACAAGACCAAGAUAGAGAAGAAGGAAGCCCAUGACAAAGCCAGCCUGGCAGUUGGAGCCAAUCUCCCUAGGUUUCAUCAAUGAUUUGGGAGGCUUACAAAUGAACUGCAUUGAAGCUGAACAACUUUAGGGGCAUAGACUUAGAAUGAAACACGUGUAGUUCAGGGUCGGCCAGCAAAGAUGAGCCCUAGUGAAGCUGCAGGCUUUGGUCAAGACCCAGAGGAGUUACACUUAAAAAUCAGGGGACAGGAAAUAACUAGGCUUUCUUAGGGAUUGGGCCUGCAGUGAACAAUCUCACUGGCAGAAUGGAUGCAGGGAUCCAGUACUGCUGGCGCCCCUACCCACUUUCCAGGAAGAAAUUACUGUUGUUUCUGCAGCAAGAUAAUUCCAUUUUUUCCCUCCACACUUUUGACCCAUGUCUGGUCCUGAACAAAAAUGACCUAAUUGAUGACAAAACAAUGUGAUGGGAUUGAAACCUAUAGGACAAUGUAGAUGGAUCCAGAGCAGAUCCAGGUAUCAAUGUUAUUAAUGCUGGUACCUUCCCUCUUCUGCCCUAAAUACAUGACACAAUGUGUGACAAACACUCAGGACAGAAAGGAAAAUGCAGGUUACAGAAAGCAAGGUAGGAAGGGAAGGCACAAUUCUACUGAAUGCAUUUGGCAAAAAGACUCUGGACCCAGUUCCAAAACAAGUAUCUCUACUGGCUGCCACAUUCAUUCAUACAACGGUACUUAUGACAGUUAUCACAUGAUCAUCUUACUCUUCUGUAGCCACUUUUGUUCAUAGAAUUCUUCAAGGAUGCCUGCUUUCUCCUUCAGCUGUUUGACUUUUGCUUCCUUGGUUGCUUUCACAGACCUCAAUACAUUACACUUGUCUUCCAGGGCCUUUUUAUUUUCUGUAAAAAAAAAAAAGGGAGUUUUCUUUGUAAGUGUGUACAUGACCUGAGUCUUGAUUUUGGUGUGACAAAAAAAGGGCAAGAACCAUGACAGCAGGAAGCUAUUCUUUCCCUUCCCAAUGCAAAGUCAUUGUCAUCAUAUGGGGAUUUCUCCCCAACAGACAAUAUACCUUCCAGUUGACAGUUACUGGACCUAAAGGCUCUUAGCUCUACAUCAUCAAAUUCACCAUUUGCAUCUUGUGGUUAAGACAUAUAUGAGAAAAGACUUUCAAGAAACAAUGAUUCCACAACAAUUUGAGUGUACCUAAAACAAAAGGAUUGUACACUGCAAUAAACAAAGACCUUGAAGCAUAAAUAUAACUAGAAGACAAAAAUGGUGGAAAAUAGUUCAUGUACAACAGCUUAUACAUGGCUCUU